This 118-nucleotide ribosomal RNA is filed under the name Nocardioides perillae. The record is from RNAcentral. Lineage: Bacteria; Bacillati; Actinomycetota; Actinomycetes; Propionibacteriales; Nocardioidaceae.
UACGGCGGCCAUAGCGAAACGGGAAACACCCGGUCCCAUUCCGAACCCGGAAGUUAAGCCUUUCAGCGCCGAUGGUACUGCAACCGCGAGGUUGUGGGAGAGUAGGACGCCGCCGGAC